This 228-nucleotide unclassified non-coding RNA is filed under the name Hevea brasiliensis (rubber tree). Lineage: Eukaryota; Viridiplantae; Streptophyta; Magnoliopsida; Malpighiales; Euphorbiaceae. The record is from RNAcentral.
GAAGCCAAGAUAUUCACUACAGUACUUAGGUUUUAGCUAGUCAAACACCUCAUUACCGUAAAUGGUAUCUCCAUCAUUGCAAUAAUUUGGUAAUGUGAAGUAUGCACUCAAUUCUUCAUUUUUUCUGUACUUCAAUCUAACCUUUAACCUCGCCAGUUUUGGCAUGAGGAGCGCAUAUGAAAGUGGGAUCAACCAAAGAGCACACUAUUAGGGUUAAGGAACCCUAAC